CCUGCUAACCGCUCAUAAAAUAUGCCCACUAACAGAAGAUGUACCUAAUAGACAGACCAGGUAUUUCAAGAAGCAAUACAAAGAAGCAAUACAACUGUAAACAGAAGCGCUAACGGUUCAUCCAAAAAACAAAAAGACAGACGUGGUAACGACAAAUGACCACAGGAGCUACAACCCAAGUUUUGAAAGAAGCUGCCGCCACCUUGGAGUCUCUUCGUCGAAAAUGUAGGUUAAAGGAGAAAUUAAAACUCCACUUCCUCCAAUCGCUCUCAGUUGCUGCACAGACUUGUAUAAUGCCUUUUUUGGGAUACAAAUGACUAUGGCAUAAUAAUCUGGUGAAACUUUUCCAUCAUGUUUGCAGUAAACUGGACUUACAGUAGGCCCCUGCAACCCAGAAAGUGAUGGCUGGCUCAGAACACGUUCUGCCACUUCAUCUGCACUGCUUCCUCUCAUGUUUGCAGUCACCGUGAACUGACCAAUUGCCCUCAAAUGCGCCUCCAACCUUUCAAGAAUCUCAUGUGUUGUGUCCAGUGCACCCUGCCGUUGCAUUAAUGAUUUCCUGCUAGCAACAAGAACAGCCUGGCUCUCCAAUAGAACUCCACCUUCAAUUUCUUUCAGGUUGUUUUCUCUUAACGUUGUUCCACUACUCACAAGGUCCAAAAUAGCAUCAGCUAUUCCCAUCGCAGGAGCAGCUUCCAAUGCUCCAUCAGCAGUUGA
Molecule: unclassified non-coding RNA, 717 nt
Filed under: Hevea brasiliensis (rubber tree)
Lineage: Eukaryota; Viridiplantae; Streptophyta; Magnoliopsida; Malpighiales; Euphorbiaceae
Source: RNAcentral